AUUGAACGCUGGCGGCAUGCCUUACACAUGCAAGUCGAACGGCAGCGGGCCUUCGGGUGCCGGCGAGUGGCGAACGGGUGAGUAAUGCAUCGGAACGUGCCAUUGAGUGGGGGAUAACGUAGCGAAAGUUACGCUAAUACCGCAUAUUCUGUGAGCAGGAAAGCAGGGGACCGCAAGGCCUUGCGCUCUUUGAGCGGCCGAUGUCAGAUUAGCUAGUUGGUGAGGUAAAGGCUUACCAAGGCGACGAUCUGUAGCGGGUCUGAGAGGAUGAUCCGCCACACUGGAACUGAGACACGGUCCAGACUCCUACGGGAGGCAGCAGUGGGGAAUUUUGGACAAUGGGCGCAAGCCUGAUCCAGCCAUGCCGCGUGAGUGAAGAAGGCC
This 384-nucleotide ribosomal RNA is filed under the name uncultured bacterium. RNAcentral describes it as "bacterial SSU rRNA". It matches the Rfam family "Bacterial small subunit ribosomal RNA", at positions 30 to 416 of the family's 1533-position model. The record is from RNAcentral.